CCUACGGGAGGCAGCAGUCGAGAAUCAUUCACAAUGGGGGAAACCCUGAUGGUGCGACGCCGCGUGGGGGAAUGAAGGUCUUCGGAUUGUAAACCCCUGUCAUGUGGGAGCAAAUAAAAAAGAUAGUACCACAAGAGGAAGAGACGGCUAACUCUGUGCCAGCAGCCGCGGGAAUACAGAGGUCUCAAGCGUUGUUCGGAAUCACUGGGCGUAAAGCGUGCGUAGGCUGUUUCGUAAGUCGUGUGUGAAAGGCGCGGGCUCAACCCGCGGACGGCACAUGAUACUGCGAGACUAGAGUAAUGGAGGGGGAACCGGAAUUCUCGGUGUAGCAGUGAAAUGCGUAGAUAUCGAGAGGAACACUCGUGGCGAAGGCGGGUUCCUGGACAUUAACUGACGCUGAGGCACGAAGGCCAGGGGAGCGAAAGGGAUUAGAUACCCUUGUAGUC
RNAcentral lists this ribosomal RNA (446 nucleotides) under uncultured bacterium. Its description in RNAcentral is "partial 16S ribosomal RNA". It matches the Rfam family "Bacterial small subunit ribosomal RNA", at positions 338 to 795 of the family's 1533-position model. The record is from RNAcentral.